RNAcentral lists this ribosomal RNA (878 nucleotides) under uncultured Alteromonas sp. Its description in RNAcentral is "bacterial SSU rRNA". It matches the Rfam family "Bacterial small subunit ribosomal RNA", at positions 62 to 937 of the family's 1533-position model. Lineage: Bacteria; Pseudomonadati; Pseudomonadota; Gammaproteobacteria; Alteromonadales; Alteromonadaceae. The record is from RNAcentral.
UCGACGGUAACAUUUCUAGCUUGCUAGAAGAUGACGAGUGGCGGACGGGUGAGUAAUGCUUGGGAACUUGCCUUUGCGAGGGGGAUAACAGUUGGAAACGACUGCUAAUACCGCAUAAUGUCUUCGGACCAAACGGGGCUUCGGCUCCGGCGCAAAGAGAGGCCCAAGUGAGAUUAGCUAGUUGGUAAGGUAACGGCUUACCAAGGCGACGAUCUCUAGCUGUUCUGAGAGGAAGAUCAGCCACACUGGGACUGAGACACGGCCCAGACUCCUACGGGAGGCAGCAGUGGGGAAUAUUGCACAAUGGGGGAAACCCUGAUGCAGCCAUGCCGCGUGUGUGAAGAAGGCCUUCGGGUUGUAAAGCACUUUCAGUUGUGAGGAAAAGUUAGUAGUUAAUACCUGCUAGCCGUGACGUUAACAACAGAAGAAGCACCGGCUAACUCCGUGCCAGCAGCCGCGGUAAUACGGAGGGUGCGAGCGUUAAUCGGAAUUACUGGGCGUAAAGCGCACGCAGGCGGUUUGUUAAGCUAGAUGUGAAAGCCCCGGGCUCAACCUGGGAUGGUCAUUUAGAACUGGCAGACUAGAGUCUUGGAGAGGGGAGUGGAAUUCCAGGUGUAGCGGUGAAAUGCGUAGAUAUCUGGAGGAACAUCAGUGGCGAAGGCGACUCCCUGGCCAAAGACUGACGCUCAUGUGCGAAAGUGUGGGUAGCGAACAGGAUUAGAUACCCUGGUAGUCCACACCGUAAACGCUGUCUACUAGCUGUGUGUGUCUUUAAGGCGUGCGUAGCGAAGCUAACGCGCUAAGUAGACCGCCUGGGGAGUACGGCCGCAAGGUUAAAACUCAAAUGAAUUUGACGGGGGCCCGCACAAGCGGUGGGA